AUCAGCUGCACCGCAAACCUCUAUUCAGCCGGAUGACCCUGUCCGUCCUGAACCUACUCUGGUUAUCCAUGACCAACCACUUCGUCGUUCUCAACGACCUCGAGAAGCCAACGUUCUCCUUAAAGAUUAUGUUUGCUCGCAGGUGAUUCUGCCUCCACACCAAUUGUUCUCGGCCUCGUCUGCACCUACACCAGGUACGGAAUAUCCUC
This 209-nucleotide long non-coding RNA is filed under the name Populus tremula. Its description in RNAcentral is "long non-coding RNA (PTRE_LNC002357)". Lineage: Eukaryota; Viridiplantae; Streptophyta; Magnoliopsida; Malpighiales; Salicaceae. The record is from RNAcentral.